GAUUAUAAUAGUUUUGAAACAAUGAUAAUGAAAGUUUUUUCAUCGUUCUAAAUUUAUGCUACAGUUAUGGUCGUAAAAGAUUAAGAAAAAUCUUAUGGGUGCAAUUAUUCCACUGACACCUGCGAAAUUACCAAAAGAACUGACCAUCGCUGUUUAUUGUAUUUUUUUUAAAUGUUCUAGUUAAACAAUCUAACACUUAA
Molecule: long non-coding RNA, 200 nt
Organism: Hydra vulgaris (swiftwater hydra)
Lineage: Eukaryota; Metazoa; Cnidaria; Hydrozoa; Anthoathecata; Hydridae
Source: RefSeq, a predicted model, not a curated record